AUGGGGGAAGUAGCCGCGUUUGCCACCGUGGCCGGCACCAUGGUCGGUAGGAUGGGGCCUAAGCUUGCAGAUUUUUUGCUGAAAAAUCAGAAGCUGCGGGCAGAUCUUGUGCAUGACAUCGAGCACAUCAAAAGAGAGUCCAACAUAAUUUCUGCCACCAUCAAGCAAGACAGCAUCGACCGUCCCCCGUGGAGCGGCAACGAGCCUCAUAAGCAAUGGAUCACGAUGGUGCGUGACUUGGCGUGCGCCAUUGACGACUGCAUCGACAGCUUCAUACACCGCCUGCCGCUCAAGACCGGCGCGUCGUGGCCCCGUCGGAAAUACCACAGGGUGAAGACGAGGAAGGUCCGUAACAAGUUUGCCAAGGCGAUCCGUGAUCUAAGGAAGACAUCAAAUGAUAUAUUCGAGCUGAGAAGAAAAUACACAGACAAGAAGUUGUAUGGGGGCGGAGGCGGCGAAGGUGGAUCCAACACCUUGGAUCCAGAUGCACCUGGUGAGGAGACGGAGACAGACGAGGAGAUGGAGGCGGACACCGCCCUUUCAACUGGUAGCGUACAUGUGGGCUUGAAGGCUGCCGGGGAUGAGCUCAUGGAGCUGAUAAGUGAAACGGCGCAAGGCCAACAAGCUAAGGAGCUCAAGGUGAAGGUGAUCUCCAUAGUUGGAUUCGGUGGUAUAGGGAAGACUCUCCUUGCUAGGCAAGCAUACGACACGAUCAAGAACCAAUAUGAAGCAUGCGCUUGGGUUUGUGCUUCAGACAAGCGCGCAAAGGCUGUUCUCACAAAGAUACUCUGGAAACUUGAGAAGCAUCCCGCCAUUGGCAAUAGAGGUGGAACUGCAGGCAGCUCCUGCACCAUGAACAAGCUCCGUGCAACCAUAAGAAGGUGCCUUGAGACAAAGAGGUUCAUCAUUGUGAUAGAUGACAUGCGGGAAGAUUUUUGGGAAGAUAUAAAAGAUGCGUUCCCUGUGGUUCCCGGGGAUAGUAACAGAGUUAUCAUUACGACGGCCACUCAGACCAUUGCAAAUGAAUGCAGCUCUGCAAAUGGUCAUGUUUACGUAAUGAGAACUCUUGACGAGGACCAUUCUGAACAAUUGUUAAUGAAGAUAGCCUCCUCGGAUCAGUACCCACCACUAGCGAGUGAAACCGAGCUCUGUUCAGAAGCACUGAAGAAAUGUGAUGGUCUACCCCUUGCUCUUGUAACAACUGGCAAGCUGUUGCAUGGUGAUCGCACACGGGACCGAUGGGCAAUUCUAUGUAAAACCCUUGGCGUACAUCUGGAGAAUAAUAAGAAGUUAGCAAGUAUGAAGCGUGUGCUCAUCCGUAGCUACACCAGCCUUGGUAGCCAAGAUGUAAAGAAUUGCUUGCUAUAUCUGGGUAUUUUUCCCAUUGGUCGUCCAGUCAGGAGAGGAAGCCUGAUAAGGAGAUGGUCAGCUGAAGGGUUCAUCCCACCAGAGAGUGUCGCUAUAGGCAAUUUUGAUGAGCUGGUCGACCGGAGUAUCAUUCAGCCUAUUGAUGCCAGCAGCAGCAACAUCGCAAAGGUGAAGACAUGCCAAACCCACGGCAUGAUGCUCGAGUUCAUCAUGCACAAGUCCAUGUGUCAGAACUUUGUUACUGUGUUGUACGAUAACGCUACACUAUCCAGUGAUGUCCGCUGGCUUUCUCUGCAUGGUGCAAGCUCCAAAAUGGAUCGAGAGAAUUUGCAUCUUGUCCGGUCUCUGACAAUCUUCGGUAAAGCGCACAAAUCUGUCUUGGACUUCUCCAAGUAUAGACUGAUGCGAGUUUUGGAUUUGGAAGGGUGCAAUGAACACUUGGAGGACGAGCACCUAAAGGUGAUAUGCAGCAACUUGUUUCUGCUCAGGUACCUAAGCCUCAGGGGCGCAGCUAAAGUUCAGGUUCUUCCCAAAGAGAUCAGGAAGCUUCAGGUUUUGGAGACGCUCGAUUUAAGAGGAACGAAUAUAGAGAUCAUGCCCACACAAGUCAUGCAUCUGCCAUCUUUACUUCAUCUGUUUGGAAAGUUCAAGCUCCCACAAGGUGUAGGAGGUCGGAAAAUACAUAAGCUUCAUGCUUGGUUGGAAGAGAACAGUAAACUGCAAACUCUAGCAGGGUUUGUUGUUGACAACAAGAGCCAACGAUUUGCACAGCUGAUGAAUCAUAUGAAGGUGCUGACAAAAGUGAAAAUAUGGUGCGAGUCUAAUGCCACUGCCAGCAGCUCAAGUCAUGUCUCAAAGGCCAUCAAUCGGUUCAUGGGGAAAAGCACUGAUUCUUCUGAUUUCAGUCAUCUCUCAGAGGCCAUCAAGGACUUCAUCGAGAGAGGCGCAGAUCCGAACACUUCACUUUCGCUCUCAGUGAACUUCAACCACGAAUGGCCUCAAGACUUGCUGAAUUUCUCCCUGAAGAAGGACAAAACCUACUAUGUAAGAUCGCUCAAGCUGCAAGGGAACAACAUAUGCAGCCAGCUGCCUCAGUUUGUUACCAUGCUACGUGGUGUCACUAAGUUGUGCCUUCAAUUCCCUCGUCAUCAGCUGAAUGCUGACAUUCUUGUUUCCCUGGGCAGUGUGAGAGGCCUGAAGUACCUGAAGCUCAUUGCAACUCAACUGGACAUGCUCGUCAUUGGACAUGAUAUACUCCGAAACAUGCGGCACCUGUGCGUUGUGGUGGAAGUUAUGACUGGGAUGGUAAUCGAAGAGGGAGCUCUACCAUACCUCGAGUCUCUCCAGCUACUAUGUAAGGAUCUCAACUGCUUUAGUGGCACGAAGAUCCAGUCCCUACCAUGUCUCAAGGAGAAUUCUGAGAGCCAUGAUGCACCACCUACUGAUACCACGUUAUUGGUGACAACACCACCACAUGUCAUUUCUACUCAAGAGCCUGUACAAGUUGUUACUACUUCUGAGAUCGUUGAUGCUCAGGACCUGAUGGGAACUGAGUCUUCUACAGAAAGUAGUUCUGUGGCAACAAGUACUGAUAGGACCAAAAAGAUUGAUGUGGAAAGUGAGCCUGCAGAAAAUUCCGAGAGCCCAGUAGCAUCACCUAUUGAUAUGAUGUUAUCAAUCACAACGGCACCCAAUGUCAUUUCUACCGGAGAGUCUGUCCGUCUUAAUGGUGGCUGUCAACAUGGUGAUGAUUGGAAAGAUGUGGAUAACAUUGAGGACCCUAAAGAUUUGUCUACAAAAAAUGGUCGGAUCACUCAGGUGAUAGUUAAAGAGGAGAUGGUAGGAGUGGCAGAUUUAGAGGAUCUGCAGAUGGACGAUGGCACCCAGCUGGACUGUCCUUUUGAGUUUUCAGGCAUUGUGCUAUCAAUUUCUGUUGCGAUAAUGGUGGAUUCUCAGGUGCAGGGUGUACCAGACAGACUGUUACGGCUAUGGGGACUGUUCAGCUGA
This 3375-nucleotide ribosomal RNA is filed under the name Triticum aestivum (bread wheat). Its description in RNAcentral is "partial small subunit ribosomal RNA". The record is from RNAcentral. Lineage: Eukaryota; Viridiplantae; Streptophyta; Magnoliopsida; Poales; Poaceae.